GUCCCUGUAGCGCAAUGGAUAGUGUGCGUUGGGCUUCUAAUCCAAAGGUCGUGGGUUCGAAUCCCACCUGAGAUG
Trichonephila clavipes is the source of this 75-nucleotide non-coding RNA. NCBI's taxonomy places the organism in Eukaryota, Metazoa, Arthropoda, Arachnida, Araneae, Nephilidae. The record is from the annotation of a GenBank genome assembly.